This 5207-nucleotide unclassified non-coding RNA is filed under the name Diuraphis noxia (Russian wheat aphid). RNAcentral's name for it is "nuclear pore complex protein Nup98-Nup96, transcript variant X1". Lineage: Eukaryota; Metazoa; Arthropoda; Insecta; Hemiptera; Aphididae. The record is from RNAcentral.
UUUCAGUUAUUUUCAUUCCGAGUGUUAAACUGUUAACUAAAAUUCACGUUGUUUAAUAUUAUAGUGUAUAUUUUUUUAAUUAUUGAUAUACCUCAGAUAUGACAUUAUAGUUUCGAUUUUGAAUUGAAGGUUUUUCANACUCUAGAAUGUUUGGUUCUGGAGCAGGUGCAUUUUCCGGUGGGGCCGGAAACACGUCAGGAUUUGGUCAGUCGGCAUUUGGUAAGCCUACAGCACCUGCAGUAUUUGGUCAAACAAAUACAUCACUAUUUAAUCAAACUACACAGCCUAAUACGGGAUUAUUUGGAUCUACUGCUGCUGCGCCUGCAUUUGGUCAGACACCAACCGCUCAACCAACAUUUGGAGGUUUUAAUACUGGUGGAACUUCACUAUUUGGAACUCCUACAGCAACAUCGGCAUCAACUGGAGGUUUAUUUGGCCAGCAAAAUGCUUCAAUGGGUGGAAAUACUGGAGGUGGAUUAUUUGGUUCUAGUAAUCCUAAUACAUCAUUCGGACAAUCAAAACCAGUUGGAACAGGUUUUUCUUUUGGAACACCAGUUGCUCAGCCAACGGGUAAUAUAUUUGGUACACCUCAAUCAAACACUACAGGCACUGGAAUGUUUGGCGCUUCUACUACUGGAACCUUUGGUGCUACAUCAGGAUUUGGAGCAACAUCUGCAGGCGGUACAACCAUAAAAUUCAAUCCUGUGACUGGUACUGAUACAAUGGUCAGAAAUGGUGUAAAUCAAACAAUUAAUACUAGACAUCAAUCAAUAACUGUUAUGAAAGAAUAUGAAUCAAAAAUAUUUGAGGAACUUAGAUUUGAAGAUUAUUCUGCAAACCGUAAAGUUGGACAACAGGGUGCUGUUGGUGGUGGCAUCUUUGGAUCUCCUAAAACUUUAUUUAGUUCUACAGCAACAACAAGUACAGGUUUAUUCGGAGCAAAUGAUAAUAAACCACUUUUUGGCGCAACCUCGACUACACCUGCACUUGGAGGAUUUGGAAAUACUAGUACUUCCAAUGUUUUUGGUGCACAAAAUAGCAUUUUUGGGAAAUCUCAACAAACAACACCAGCAUUUGGUACUCAACCGUCAACUCAACCUUUUGGUAUGAAUACAACUCAACCAAAUAUCUUUGGAUCAAAUACAGCUCAAACAGCUAAACCAUUUGGAGUUGCUGCUCCUCAGACAAAUAUAUUUGGAAGUACUGCACCUUCAACUUUUGGUACUCAAACUACUGGAUUUGGUCAAACUGGAUUCGGACAACCUGCUCAGAACAAUCUAUUUGGUCAGAAUAAACCAGCAUUUGGUCUUGGAUCAACACAAACAACAACAGGUUUUGGUUUUGGAACUAAUACAUCUACUAGUACAAACGGUAUUUUUGGUAGUAAACCUGCUAAUACUGGUUUUCAAAUGACUACUCCAGCUUUUGGUACAAACAAUGCUUUUGGUGCUACUUCUACAUCUCAACCAGCUACUGGUGGCUUAUUUGGUUCUAAUUCUUUUAAUAAGGCACCAACUACUUCAUUAUUUAACCAACCUUCAAAUCAACAAACAGGUGUAUUUAAUAAUGCUGCUAAACCAGGAGGGUUAUUUGGCCAAGGAACACAAGGAACUGGACUUUUUGGAUCAUCUAAUACUAAUAGUUUUGGUACAAGUGGAACAUCGUUUUUUGGGAAUAACCAACAAACUAGUGGAAUUGGGCUUUUUGGAAAUACCAACAAUGUUCAGUUAUCUACAAAUCAGGCAUCACAAAGUAAUCAAAUGCAAUUACAACUAGAUACAUUAAAAGCAAUGCCAUAUGGAGAUUCACCACUGUUCAAAAGAUUUUAUAAGGACGUAUCAAAAGUAGAUGAUUCAUCUCUUGUGCGNUCCCAGAGUGUAUCACUUGAGAAGUUUGGUAGCUAUAAAGUUUCUCCAAUACCAACACCAAAGAGAAUACCUCAAAUUCGUAGAAAUUUCCCUCAAUUCAAUCGUAAAUCCUUAUUUGAUGGACUUGAAGAAUCUCCACCAACAAUGAAAUGUCUAGAUAAAGUUAGUGAUAAUUCACUGCUACUUAAUAUUUCUUCUCCGAGAUCAGGCUGUAAGAAAUUGAAUUUAAAAAAAGACAUUAAUGACUGUAGUAAAAACAAUGGAAAUAGUAUGAUUAUGCAUACAAAACCACUUGCAAAAUUAGAACUAUAUUUUUCUAAUAAACAAAGCUCUCCAGAGGAUAAAUCACAUUCUGUUAAUUUAUCUUUAACUGAAGAAAAUAACACAAUUUCUCAAUUACAAAGCAAUAAACAAAUCAAUUUGAAUACUUCAAAAGAAACAGAAGCCAAUGAAUCUUCUCGAAAUAAUGUUAUUGAUACUGUCAUUGAGAACCAAGAACCUUCAAUUGAUCCCAAUUCUCCUGAAGCAGAGGACCAUCCUACCGGGAUAAAGUUAAGACGUGUUGGAUAUUAUACUAUUCCACCUAUGAAUGAAUUGGCAGAAUUAGUAGAUGAUGAUGGAUCAUGUUUUGUGGAUAAUUUCACAAUAGGACGCUAUGACUUUGGAAAUGUUUUUUUCCCCGAUCGUUUUAAUGUUGCAGGUCUAGACUUAGAUACUAUUGUGCACAUACGACAUAGAGAAAUUAUAAUUUAUCAAGAUGAUGAACUCAAACCCCCUUUAGGGGAAGGGUUAAAUAGAAAGGCUGUUGUUACUUUGGAUAGAGUCUGGCCUAAUGAUAAGACGACAAAGCAACCAAUAACUAACCCUGAUCGUAUUGCAGCUACAAAUUUUGUUGUUAAACUUCAAAGGGCAUGUGCCAAACUAAACACUCAAUUCGUUGAUUAUCGUCCGGACACGGGAUCUUGGGUUUUUAAUGUUGAACAUUUCUCCAAGUAUGCUCUUGUAGAUUCUGAUGAUGACGAUGAUGAAAAUAAUGUGGAACGUAAUAUUGAACCUAAAACUCUUCCUAAACCAACAUUACAAAAACCAAAAACUAUAAAAUCAACUGAAAACGUUAGUCCAAAACAAAAUGUUAUGAAACCAUUGUUAGAUCUUUCUGUUGGUCUUGAUAGAGCUCAAUUACCACAUCAGUAUUUAUUAAAACCAAACUUUCAACUAUCUGUUGUUAAUGAACCAACUAAUGAUUCACACAUGCAUUAUUACGACAUCAAUAAAGAAAAUAGCAUUAAUGUGACUGCUCAGCUAUCACAACAUAUGAAUUUACAGACAUCAAAGAUACAAUGCAUGAAAGCUUCAUUUAAUGAUAUUUUUUAUAAUGAAUUAGAUUUGAUGGAACAAGAUGAUGAUACAUAUGGACAAAAAGAUAAAUUUGAAGAUAAGUUGGAAAAAAUUUUGGAAACUAUUCCUGAAUGUUUAAUCAGCCCUAAAAUUCAAGAUAGUAUUUCCAAGUCAAAAUCAAUAAUUGCACCAGUAGAUAAUCAAGCGUCUCCAAAGUUUUUCAUCCCAAAACAAAAAACUAAAGUUAUUCAAGCUGCAGAACUAUUGAAACCUAUUUCAACUGCUCCACUUCAAGCUCAACGGUUCAAUUUGCUAUACAAUUCUAGUGUUCGGUUACCAUUUGAAGUAGAACUUAAUAAUACAUGCGAAUCUAGUAAAUUAGCAUUGUUGAAUAAUUUAUCAAUGAAAGUUCCUUGGUCUGGCAAUUUAACAUUUAUUACACUCAAUACAAAAUCUAAAGGAAGUUGUUUACCAAAAAAGGGAUUGGACAUUAGUUAUUUAUCAACAGAGUUGUCUGGGCGUGGAAAUAAUGAUUAUACUUCUACUAUUGUACAGAAGUUACAAAUUAUUACCCCUAACCAAACAGAGACAUUCACUGAAUUAUUGACUGAACAUUUGGAAAUUUGUAUGAUGAAUAGUAAUUGUGAUGCUAAAAAUGGUAACAUUCCAUAUUUUUAUCCAAAAUUUGGAGUUGAUGCAUUACAUUCUCAUUGUUACNUGCUGUCCCACUUUUCUGAACUUCCCGAAGAAGAACAUUAUGCUCAUGUAUGGGAGCUGAUGAAAGCAUUAUGGGGCGAUCCAGAAAAUCUUUAUACUAAAGACUGUCCUCAAGAACAUGUAUACAACAUGGCUAGACNUCAGGCGGUGUCUGAUUGGUUAGAAAAUAUAUUAGAAAAGACAGUGAAUUCUAAAAAUGUUGAAGAGAAUGUCUCUCGAAAAAUAUUAAACCUAGUGUCAGUUCAUAAAAUUAUGGAAGCUUCUGAUUUAGCAAUUUCCAAUAACGAAUUUAUUUUAGCAAUACUAUUAUCACAGUUAGGAAGUGAAAAUUCUGUCAGAUGUUGUAUUCAACGACAACUUUGGCAAUGGUUCAACAGCAAAGCUGAUCUGUUUAUAGAUAUUGAUCACCUAAAAUUGUACACUAUGAUUUCGGGUCAACCUUUAUUUGAUUCCAAUCAAGGUAUAAUAAACGUCUGUGAAAAUUUAAAUUGGAUCAGAGCUUUUGCUAUACACAUGUGGUACAUACUACCUUCAACCAGUACCAUUGGAGAUGUAUUAGAUGCUUAUCAAAAUUCAUUUGAAAGUGACGACUCAUAUGCUUUCAAACCAUAUAAGACAUAUGAUGGCAUUAUUGAUAUUGAUGAUAAAUUUGCUACUUAUGAUGUCUGUUACCAUUUAUUGAAACUUUACACCGAUUCAGCAUACCAAAUGGACAAAAUUAUAAAUCCUUUUACUCAUACACGAGAUCCAUUGGAUUAUAAUUUUAGUUGGCUUUUGUUCAACACGUUACAAUCCCUUGGCUACACUCAAAUGUCUGAAAUAUAUGCCAAUCAAUUACAUAUAAAUUUUGCUUCACAGUUGGUAUCACAUGGACAGUGGCAAUGGGCAGUAUUUGUUCUUAUGCAUAUAAAAGAAGAACAAUUGAGAGAAAGUUUAGUUGAAGAAUUUAUUGGAAGAAAUGUUGAACUACCUGUUGGCGAUAUCAAUGAAAUAAAGCUUUCUGAGAAAGAAGCUUUUGUAGUAGAAAAGUUAAAAGUUAAAGAAGUGAUACUAUUUAAUGCAAAGGCUAUUUUAGCUAUGACACAAAAAAAAGAUAUUUGGAGGCCACAUUUUGUUACUUAAAAGCCGAACAGUGGCAAGAAGCACAUAACAUACUUGCAAAUCACUUAUUUGCCAAUUAUUUACUUCAAAAAAAUGGCCAAAAAACAUUAAAACAUUUGCUAGGUUGGUUAAUAGAUGGUUCCAAGAUAAAUGGGUCAAUACCUACAACCUUGCAAGAUAGUU